GGAUGAACGCUGGCGGCGUGCUUAACACAUGCAAGUCGAACGGAAAGGCCCAAGCUUGCUUGGGUACUCGAGUGGCGAACGGGUGAGUAACACGUGGGUGAUCUGCCCUGCACUUCGGGAUAAGCCUGGGAAACUGGGUCUAAUACCGGAUAGGACGAUGGUUUGGAUGCCAUUGUGGAAAGUUUUUUCGGUGUGGGAUGAGCUCGCGGCCUAUCAGCUUGUUGGUGGGGUAAUGGCCUACCAAGGCGUCGACGGGUAGCCGGCCUGAGAGGGUGUACGGCCACAUUGGGACUGAGAUACGGCCCAGACUCCUACGGGAGGCAGCAGUGGGGAAUAUUGCACAAUGGGGGCAAGCCUGAUGCAGCGACGCCGCGUGGGGGAUGACGGCGUUCGGGUUGUAAACUCCUUUCGCUAGUGACGAAGCGUUUUUGUGACGGUACCUGGAGAAGAAGCACCGGCUAACUACGUG
RNAcentral lists this ribosomal RNA (469 nucleotides) under uncultured bacterium. RNAcentral's name for it is "partial 16S ribosomal RNA". It matches the Rfam family "Bacterial small subunit ribosomal RNA", at positions 27 to 507 of the family's 1533-position model. The record is from RNAcentral.